This 253-nucleotide ribosomal RNA is filed under the name uncultured bacterium. RNAcentral's name for it is "partial 16S ribosomal RNA". It matches the Rfam family "Bacterial small subunit ribosomal RNA", at positions 524 to 776 of the family's 1533-position model. The record is from RNAcentral.
UACGGGGGGGGUAAGCGUUGUUCGGAAUCACUGGGCGUAAAGCGCACGCAGGCGGAUUGAUAAGUCAGGGGUGAAAUCCCGGAGCUCAACUUCGGAAUUGCCUUUGAUACUGUCUGUCUUGAGUCCGGGAGAGGUGAGUGGAAUUCCUAGUGUAGAGGUGAAAUUCGUAGAUAUUAGGAAGAACACCAGUGGCGAAGGCGGCUCACUGGCCCGGUACUGACGCUCAUGUGCGAAAGCGUGGGGAGCAAACAGG